Peromyscus maniculatus bairdii (prairie deer mouse) is the source of this 569-nucleotide non-coding RNA. Lineage: Eukaryota; Metazoa; Chordata; Mammalia; Rodentia; Cricetidae. The record is from RefSeq and is a predicted model, not a curated record.
UCGAUGUCCUUGGGUGCGAGCCAGAGUUUAAAGAUUCGGGCCGGAGCGUGUGUUUGUGUCAGCGGCCAACAUAAUGCUAGGCGUCGUCUUGUGAAGGUUUCGGAAUUCCGAAAGCGUUAGUCAACUCUUCCUCAAACAGAGGAGUGAUUUGGAACGGAGUGAGCUUUCCUUUUGAAAUCUGCCUUAGUAAGAACCAGAACAAGGAAAUAAAUGUAGGAGCUGGUUUGCAGAGAAAAAUGGUUUCUUCCUGUUCAAUUGUAAGAGGAAAUUAUCCUUCACACUCUUUAGGAUUUUGUUGGGGUUUAUAAUCUGUAGAAAAAAGUAUACUGAAGGAGAAUGAGAAGAACAGAGGAUAAUAAUAAUAAAGACGGAAGCCAUCAAGAGAACAUGGACAGUUAUACUCCAGUACUAGUGUCCUUGGAAGUCAGAGGCAUCAGAUUCCCCUGGAGCUGGAGUCAUGGGUGAUUAUGAACUACCUCAUGUGUGGAUGCUGGGAACAAAACUCGGGUCCUCUGGAAAGCAGUAUAUGUGCUUAACCACUGAGAGAGCCAUCUCUCAAGCCCUGAGAU